AGAGCGAACGCUGGCGGCAGGCUUAACACAUGCAAGUCGAACGGACCCUUCGGGGUUAGUGGCGGACGGGUGAGUAACACGUGGGAACGUGCCCUUUGGUUCGGAACAACACAGGGAAACUUGUGCUAAUACCGGAUGUGCCCUUCGGGGGAAAGAUUUAUCGCCAUUGGAGCGGCCCGCGUCUGAUUAGCUUGUUGGUGAGGUAAAAGCUCACCAAGGCGACGAUCAGUAGCUGGUCUGAGAGGAUGACCAGCCACAUUGGGACUGAGACACGGCCCAAACUCCUACGGGAGGCAGCAGUGGGGAAUCUUGCGCAAUGGGCGAAAGCCUGACGCAGCCAUGCCGCGUGGAUGAUGAAGGUCUUAGGAUUGUAAAAUCCUUUCAGCGGGGACGAUAAUGACGGUACCGCAGAAGAACGCCCGGCUAACUUCGCGCCAGCAGCCG
RNAcentral lists this ribosomal RNA (444 nucleotides) under uncultured bacterium. RNAcentral describes it as "SSU rRNA". It matches the Rfam family "Bacterial small subunit ribosomal RNA", at positions 26 to 517 of the family's 1533-position model. The record is from RNAcentral.